Long non-coding RNA from Galeopterus variegatus (Sunda flying lemur), 491 nucleotides. RefSeq lists it as uncharacterized. The record is from RefSeq and is a predicted model, not a curated record. The transcript has 2 exons. Lineage: Eukaryota; Metazoa; Chordata; Mammalia; Dermoptera; Cynocephalidae.
UGAGAUGGCUUAUAUCAGCUGCUUCCCACAUUUUUUCUUCUGAGACAUGUGUGACAGAUGAUGCUUUCAGGUAGACACAUUCUCAUAUAUAGUUCCUGCCAUAACUUCACCCUUUCUCUCCCACUGGAAAGUAUUUGAUGCUAUGCAGCCAUUUAGAAGGAUCACAACACAUCAGUGCCUCCCACUGGAUUAGAUGCUAAGAAGAGUGCUGAGAUUCAAACUCAGGACUUCUGACUCCAAGUCCAUGGCUUUUUACACUAAGUCAUUGCCCAGUGUGGUUGCUUCGAGGGCUGCACCUUCACAAGCCCAACACACCCCAGGCCAUCUCCCAGGCUCAACAAGCCAUGACAGUAAUGUCACAAUUGCCGGAGCAGAAAAGUCAUAACUGUGGAAUUAACACUCCAACCAGUCUUUAGCCAACCACAUUCUAUAUUGUUUCAUCCACUUUCUUUUUUCUUAUUGAGGUAAAGUGCACAAAUAUUAAACGUUCA